UGGGGCGUGGCCAAGUGGUAAGGCAGCGGGUUUUGGUCCCG
Molecule: transfer RNA, 41 nt
Filed under: Aegilops tauschii
Lineage: Eukaryota; Viridiplantae; Streptophyta; Magnoliopsida; Poales; Poaceae
Description: partial tRNA-Gln
Source: RNAcentral